RNAcentral lists this non-coding RNA (30 nucleotides) under Rattus norvegicus (Norway rat). Lineage: Eukaryota; Metazoa; Chordata; Mammalia; Rodentia; Muridae. The record is from RNAcentral.
UCAGAGGAUUUGAAGAAGGAUAAAUUAAGA